AUUGAACGCUGGCGGCAUGCCUUACACAUGCAAGUCGAACGGCAGCACGGGGCGAACCCUCGGUGGCGAGUGGCGAACGGGUGGAGUAACGCAUCGGAAUGUACCCACGUAGUGGGGAGUAACUAGUCGAAGAUUAGCUAAUACCGCAUACGCACUGAGGUGGAAAGCGGGGGAGUCGCAAGACCUCGCGCUAUUGGAGCAGCCGAUGUCCGAUUAGGUAGUUGGUGGGGUAAAGGCCUACCAAGCCUGCGAUCGGUAACUGGUCUGAGAGGACGACCAGUCACACUGGGACUGAGACACGGCCCAGACUCCUACGGGAGGCAGCAGUGGGGAAUUUUGGACAAUGGGCGCAAGCCUGAUCCAGCAAUGCCGCGUGUGUGAAGAAGGCCUCGGUUGUAAG
RNAcentral lists this ribosomal RNA (400 nucleotides) under uncultured bacterium. RNAcentral's name for it is "bacterial SSU rRNA". It matches the Rfam family "Bacterial small subunit ribosomal RNA", at positions 29 to 429 of the family's 1533-position model. The record is from RNAcentral.